CAGACAUGCAAGUCGAACGCGAAAGCCCCUUCGGGGGGCAAGUAGAGUGGCGCACGGGUGAGUAACACGUAGGUAAUCUACCUUUGGAUUGGGAAUAACCACCGGAAACGGUGGCUAAUACCGAAUAAUGCAGCGGCACCUAAUGGUGACAGUUGUUAAAGCGGGGGAUCGAAAGACCUCGCGUCUAAAGAGGAGCCUGCGGCGGAUUAGCUAGUUGGUAGGGUAACGGCUUACCAAGGCGAUGAUCCGUAGCCGGCCUGAGAGGGCGGUCGGCCACACUGACACUGACAUACGGGUCAGACUCCUACGGGAGGCAGCAGUCGGGAAUUUUGGGCAAUGGGCGAAAGCCUGACCCAGCAACGCCGCGUGAAGGAUGAAAUCCCUCGGGAUGUAAACUUCGCAAGAACGGGAAGAAUAAGUGAGAGUUAAUAUCUCUUACGAUGACGGUACUGUUUGUAAGCUCCGGCUAACUCCGUGCCAGCAGCCGCGGUAAUACGGGGGGAGCAAGCGUUGUUCGGAUUUACUGGGCGUAAAGGGCGCGUAGGCGGCCACCGCAAGUCGACUGUGAAAUCUCCGGGCUUAACCCGGAAAGGUCAGCCGAUACUGCGGGGCUAGAGUGCAGAAGGGGCAACUGGAAUUCUCGGUGUAGCGGUGAAAUGCGUAGAUAUCGAGAGGAACACCUGCGGCGAAGGCGGGUUGCUGGGCUGACACUGACGCUGAGGCGCGAAAGCUAGGGGAGCGAACGGGAUUAGAUACCCCGGUAGUCCUAGCCUUAAACGAUGAAUGCUUGGUGUCUGGGGUUCUAUAGUCCCCGGGUGCCGUCGCUAACGCUUUAAGCAUUCCGCCUGGGGAGUACGGUCGCAAGACUGAAACUCAAAGGAAUUGACGGGGGCCCGCACAAGCAGCGGAGCAUGUUGCUUAAUUCGAGGCAACGCGAAGAACCUUACCUGGGCUUGACAUGUAGGGAAAAGCCGUAGAGAUACGGUGUCCUUUUGGGCCCUACACAGGUGGUGCAUGGCUGUCGUCAGCUCGUGUCGUGAGAUGUUGGGUUAAGUCCCGCAACGAGCGCAACCCUUAUCCUAUGUUGCCAGCGCGUAAUGGCGGGGACUCGUGGGAGACUGCCGGGGUCAACUCGGAGGAAGGUGGGGACGACGUCAAGUCAUCAUGCCCCUUACGUCCAGGGCUGCACACAUGCUACAAUGGCCGGUACAAAGGGCUGCUAUCCCGCGAGGGUGAGCGAAUCCCAAAAAGCCGGUCUCAGUUCGGAUCGGAGUCUGCAACUCGACUCCGUGAAGCUGGAGUUGCUAGUAAUCCCGGAUCAGCUACGCACGGGGUGAUACGUU
Molecule: ribosomal RNA, 1343 nt
Filed under: uncultured bacterium
Lineage: Bacteria
Description: bacterial SSU rRNA
Rfam family: Bacterial small subunit ribosomal RNA
Source: RNAcentral